Molecule: ribosomal RNA, 305 nt
Filed under: uncultured bacterium
Lineage: Bacteria
Description: bacterial SSU rRNA
Rfam family: Bacterial small subunit ribosomal RNA
Source: RNAcentral
CCCUACGGGGGGCAGCAGUGAGGAAUAUUGGUCAAUGGGCGGAAGCCUGAACCAGCCAAGUCGCGUGAGGGAAUAAGGCCCUACGGGUCGUAAACCUCUUUUGCCGGGGAGCAAGGGCCGGGACGCGUCCCGGCCCGGAGAGUACCCGGAGAAAAAGCAUCGGCUAACUCCGUGCCAGCAGCCGCGGUAAUACGGAGGAUGCGAGCGUUAUCCGGAUUUAUUGGGUUUAAAGGGUGCGCAGGCGGACCAUCAAGUCAGCGGUAAAAUCGUGGGGCCCAACCCCAUCCCGCCGUUGAAACUGGCGG